This 497-nucleotide ribosomal RNA is filed under the name uncultured bacterium. Its description in RNAcentral is "partial 16S ribosomal RNA". It matches the Rfam family "Bacterial small subunit ribosomal RNA", at positions 28 to 507 of the family's 1533-position model. The record is from RNAcentral.
GAUGAACGCUGGCGGCGUGCCUAAUACAUGCAAGUCGAGCGAACAGACGAGGAGCUUGCUCCUCUGACGUUAGCGGCGGACGGGCGAGUAACACGUGGAUAACCUACCUAUAAGACUGAGAUAACUUCGGGAAACCGGAGCUAAUACCGGAUAAUAUAUUGAACCGCAUGGUUCAAUAGUGAAAGACGGUUUUGCUGUCACUUAUAGAUGGAUCCGCGCCGCAUUAGCUAGUUGGUAAGGUAACGGCUUACCAAGGCAACGAUGCGUAGCCGACCUGAGAGGGUGAUCGGCCACACUGGAACUGAGACACGGUCCAGACUCCUACGGGAGGCAGCAGUAGGGAAUCUUCCGCAAUGGGCGAAAGCCUGACGGAGCAACGCCGCGUGAGUGAUGAAGGUCUUCGGAUCGUAAAACUCUGUUAUUAGGGAAGAACAAAUGUGUAAGUAACUAUGCACGUCUUGACGGUACCUAAUCAGAAAGCCACGGCUAACUACGUG